This 546-nucleotide ribosomal RNA is filed under the name uncultured Myroides sp. RNAcentral describes it as "bacterial SSU rRNA". It matches the Rfam family "Bacterial small subunit ribosomal RNA", at positions 351 to 904 of the family's 1533-position model. Lineage: Bacteria; Pseudomonadati; Bacteroidota; Flavobacteriia; Flavobacteriales; Flavobacteriaceae. The record is from RNAcentral.
GCAUGAGGAAUAGGUCACUGGAGCACUCUGAGCAGCAUGCCCGCGUGCAGGAUGACUGCCCUAUGGGUUGUAAACUGCUUUUAUACAGGAAGAAAUGUAUCUACGUGUAGAUAUUUGACGGUACUGUAGGAAUAAGGAUCGGCUAACUCCGUGCCAGCAGCCGCGGUAAUACGGAGGAUCCGAGCGUUAUCCGGAAUUAUUGGGUUUAAAGGGUUCGUAGGCGGCCUUAUAAGUCAGGGGUGAAAUCUCUCAGCUCAACUGAGAACUUGCCUUUGAUACUGUAUGGCUUGAAUAAUAUUGAAGUAACUAGAAUAUGUAGUGUAGCGGUGAAAUGCAUAGAUAUUACAUGGAAUACCAAUUGCGAAGGCAGGUUACUAAUUAUUUAUUGACGCUGAUGAACGAAAGCGUGGGUAGCGAACAGGAUUAGAUACCCUGGUAGUCCACGCCGUACACGAUGGAUACUAGCUGUUUGAUUUUCGGAUUGAGUGGCUAAGCGAAAGUGAUAAGUAUCCCACCUGGGGAGUACGUUCGCAAGAAUGAAAUCAA